This 505-nucleotide ribosomal RNA is filed under the name uncultured bacterium. RNAcentral's name for it is "partial 16S ribosomal RNA". It matches the Rfam family "Bacterial small subunit ribosomal RNA", at positions 28 to 507 of the family's 1533-position model. The record is from RNAcentral.
GACGAACGCUGGCGGCGUGCCUAAUACAUGCAAGUAGAACGCACAGUUUAUACCGUAGCUUGCUACACCAUAGACUGUGAGUUGCGAACGGGUGAGUAACGCGUAGGUAACCUGCCUGGUAGCGGGGGAUAACUAUUGGAAACGAUAGCUAAUACCGCAUAAUAUUAAUUAUUGCAUGAUAAUUAAUUGAAAGGUGCAAUUGCACCACUACCAGAUGGACCUGCGUUGUAUUAGCUAGUAGGUGAGGUAACGGCUCACCUAGGCGACGAUACAUAGCCGACCUGAGAGGGUGAUCGGCCAAACUGGGACUGAGACACGGCCCAGACUCCUACGGGAGGCAGCAGGAGGGAAUCUUCGGCAAUGGACGAAAGUCUGACCGAGCAACGCCGCGGGAGUGAAGAAGGGUGUCGGAUCGUAAAGCUCUGUUGUAAGAGAAGAACGGGUGUGAGAGUGGAAAGUUCACACUGUGACGGUAUCUUAACAGAAAGGGACGGCUAACUACGUG